CAGAAGUUUCUUGGGAGUCAGUUUCUGCUGUUUCUGAAGCAGCUUCAGUCCUUGAAUGGGAGAGAGGAUCUGGGAGAGGAGCUGCUUCCUCUCUUCUCUGCUUUCCUCUGCCAGGCUUAGCAGAAGGUUUGUUCUCCAGAUGCAGUUUAAGGCUUCAAGGACCCCACCGGGCGGCUCUUCCUGGGCACCUUCAGCAUCCUGCCAGGGGAGUCGUGGUCAUCACGAUGGAAGGGGCUUCUCUUCUGUGCUGUGGCCCACUUCAUCAAGUGAAAAAGAGGCACCAAAACAGGACCAUGUCUGAUUUGGGGGACAAGUGGUGUUUCCUUUGCUCUUUCUGGCGUAAGAAGGUCAAGCUGCGUAAAGAUAAAGCAGGAUCCGGCGAGGAAGCAGCGGACUUUGAAAGAAGAUGAAUGAAUUGAGCUGACUCUGCCAUGUAUUCAACAUCUUGUCGUCCAUCUUUAUAGGAAUCAUUUGAAAAAGAAAGUUCAUCUUAGAAGGACCAGGCUGGCCAUAUACUGCUUCCCUGCCCUGAGGAAAAUCCCAUUAUCCAUUUCAAAAUGAAAAAUGGCACCGUUAAAUAGUACUAGUUCAGAAAUAAGAAUGGUCCAUAUACUAACUUUGGUAUUUCAGGAGACAAUGAUAACAGGCUGGCAUUUGAGGAAGACCUCCCUCCCUCCCUCCCCCCCCCCCCCGCUUCUGCAGCCAGCCUCGGGACUGUCCCGCACCCCCCUUCUGCAGCCAGAACAGGGACAGUGCCGCACCCCUUCUGCAGCCGGACCCAAUUCAGUCCAGACCCUACUUCUGCAGCAGACCCCGGGACAGUCCCGUACCCCCCUUCUACAGCUGGCCCCGGGACCAUCCCACACCACCCUUCAGCAGUCAGAACAGGGAGAGUGCCGCACCCCUUCCUCAGCCGGACCCAGUCCAGUCCCAAACCCCCUUCUGCAGCUGACCCCAGGACUAUCCGGUACCCCCCUCCUGUAUCCGGAACCUGGAUCAUCCAACACCCCCCUCCUGUAGCCAGAACCUGGACCGCCCCGCACUCUCCUUCUGCAGCCGGCCCCGGGACUGUCCCGUACCCCCCUUCUGCAGCCGGCCCCGGGACUGUCCCGUACCCCCCUUCUGCAGCCGGCCCCGGGACUGUCCCGUACCCCCCUUCUGCAGCCGGCCCCGGGACUGUCCCGCACCCCCCUUCUGCAGCCGGCCCCGGGACUGUCCCGCACCCCCCUUCUGCAGCCGGCCCCGGGACUGUCCCGCACCCCCCUUC
Hemicordylus capensis (graceful crag lizard) is the source of this 1267-nucleotide long non-coding RNA. RefSeq lists it as uncharacterized. The record is from RefSeq and is a predicted model, not a curated record. The transcript has 4 exons. Lineage: Eukaryota; Metazoa; Chordata; Lepidosauria; Squamata; Cordylidae.